UAUAAAAGUCCAAAUUCACCAACGCACUUUGAUUCUUUCUGGAACAAGAGAUUAUCAAUAUAUGCAAUGCUUAUUUGUGAAUGCAUAUUUAGAAGAAAAGGGUUUUUGUCUUUAUUGAGUUGUGUUCUGGGUCCCUAAAAGUUCACCAAGACUGAACUUGCCAGGUGAGUUUCCUAGAGGUUCACAUGUGAGUAGAGGGGUGAAGGACACAGUUCAGUUAAGCUGAUUGUUACCUUGUUACAUUUCAUUUAGGAUUCUAAGGCGUUCAGAAAGCUGAUGCAAUCCAAGGCCUUUGGGACAUUUGCCUGUUACUGGAGUGGCAAUUGCAGCAAGUAGCUUUGACUACUGAAAUCAGGAGUGCAAGGACACAGGAGUAAGGACAAGCAUUGCAGAGAAAGUGGAAAAAGACUUUGCAUGGCAGCGAUAACACAGUCCCCUGCUGGAAAACGCUGAAUACUGGCAGCAUAAAGCCUCCUGAAUAUGUUGGCCAGAUUAAUGUCCUCCUAAUAACAGCAGUGUCACUGGUUUUGGAUUCCAGAAGCAUUGUUUAUCUGUGGUCUCCAAGGUGAACUACAAUGCAGCUGCAGAAUCACCUGACAGACAGCUUGCAAUGCAGCAGCAUCAAUUGCUGCUCUGCUAAAUGAGAUGUUGUUUUACAGUAAUGGAAAGAGGCUCAAAGUAA
Passer domesticus (house sparrow) is the source of this 682-nucleotide long non-coding RNA. RefSeq lists it as uncharacterized. The record is from RefSeq and is a predicted model, not a curated record. NCBI's taxonomy places the organism in Eukaryota, Metazoa, Chordata, Aves, Passeriformes, Passeridae. The transcript has 4 exons.